AUUGAACGCUGGCGGCAUGCCUUACACAUGCAAGUCGAACGGUAACAGGUCUUCGGAUGCUGACGAGUGGCGAACGGGUGAGUAAUACAUCGGAACGUGCCCGAGAGUGGGGGAUAACGAGGCGAAAGCUUUGCUAAUACCGCAUACGAUCUCAGGAUGAAAGCAGGGGACCGCAAGGCCUUGCGCUCACGGAGCGGCCGAUGGCAGAUUAGGUGGUAGGUGGGAUAAAAGCUUACCAAGCCGACGAUCUGUAGCUGGUCUGGGAGGACGACCAGCCACAGUGGGGCGGAGACACGGCCCAGACUCCUACGGGAGGCAGCAGUGGGGAAUUUUGGACAAUGGGCGCAAGCCUGAUCCAGCCAUGCCGCGUGCAGGAGGAAGGCCUUCGGGUUGUAAACUGCUUUUGUACGGAACGAAAAGACUCUGGUUAAUACCUGGGGUCCAGGACGGUACCGUAAGAAUAAGCACCGGCUAACUACGUGCCAGCCGCCGCAGUAA
Molecule: ribosomal RNA, 498 nt
Filed under: uncultured bacterium
Lineage: Bacteria
Description: partial 16S ribosomal RNA
Rfam family: Bacterial small subunit ribosomal RNA
Source: RNAcentral